UACUCUAAUAUUCUUCUGAUG
This 21-nucleotide non-coding RNA is filed under the name Caenorhabditis elegans. The record is from RNAcentral. Lineage: Eukaryota; Metazoa; Nematoda; Chromadorea; Rhabditida; Rhabditidae.